This 663-nucleotide ribosomal RNA is filed under the name Acarospora sp. EH-2022l. RNAcentral describes it as "partial small subunit ribosomal RNA". It matches the Rfam family "Bacterial small subunit ribosomal RNA", at positions 383 to 1137 of the family's 1533-position model. Lineage: Eukaryota; Fungi; Ascomycota; Lecanoromycetes; Acarosporales; Acarosporaceae. The record is from RNAcentral.
CUAGUUGUAUUAUUAGUUAAUGCAAGAUCGACUACGUCGACUAAAGUUCUAGGUAGAAUAAUGAUGAUGACAAUUUUUUACCUAUAUGUCUUGACCAAGUCUCGUGCCAGCAGUCGCGGUAAUACGUGGAAGACUAGUGUUAUUCAUCUUUAUUAGGUUUAAAGGGUACCUAGACGGUAUUUCUAGCCCAAAAUAGGGUACGGAUUUACUAGAGUUUUAUGUGAGGAGGGGAGUACUCGUGGAGUAGAGAUGAAAUUUUGUUAUACUAUGAGGUAACUGGUGGCGGCGAAAGCAACCUUCUAUGUAUAAACUGACGUUGAGGGACGAAGGCUUGGGUAGCAAAUAGGAUUAGAUACCCUAGUAGUCCAAGCAGACAAUUCUGAAUGCCAUAGAUUAGAUUUUUUUUGAUCUAUAAAUGAAAGUGUAAGCAUUCCACCUUAGGAGUAAUGUGGCAACACAGGAACUGAAAUCAUUAGACCGUUUCUGAAACCAGUAGUGAAGUAUGUUAUUUAAUUUGAUGGUCCACAAAAAACCUUACCACAACUUGAAUAUUUUUUAAUUAAUACAAGCGUUGCACGGCUGUCUUCAGUUAAUGUCGUGAGAUUUUGGUUAACUCCAUUAAUUAACGUAAACCCUUACUUUAUUUAUUUUUUUUAUAAAGUA